RNAcentral lists this ribosomal RNA (429 nucleotides) under Fusobacteriota bacterium. RNAcentral's name for it is "Fusobacteria bacterium partial 16S ribosomal RNA". It matches the Rfam family "Bacterial small subunit ribosomal RNA", at positions 355 to 776 of the family's 1533-position model. Lineage: Bacteria; Fusobacteriati; Fusobacteriota. The record is from RNAcentral.
UGGGGAAUCUUCCGCAAUGGACGAAAGUCUGACGGAGCAACGCCGCGUGAGUGAAGACGGCCUUCGGGUUGUAAAGCUCUGUGAUCCGGGACGAAAGAGCCUGAGGUAAAUAGCCUAAGGAAGUGACGGUACCGGAAAAGCAAACCACGGCUAACUACGUGCCAGCAGCCGCGGUAAUACGUAGGUGGCAAGCGUUGUCCGGAAUUAUUGGGCGUAAAGCGCGCGCAGGCGGCUUACUAAGUCCAUCUUAAAAGUGCGGGGCUUAACCCCGUGAUGGGAUGGAAACUGGAAAGCUGGAGUAUCGGAGAGGAAAGUGGAAUUCCUAGUGUAGCGGUGAAAUGCGUAGAGAUUAGGAAGAACACCGGUGGCGAAGGCGACUUUCUGGACGAAAACUGACGCUGAGGCGCGAAAGCGUGGGGAGCAAACAGG